CGGAUUAUAGGGCGUAAGCGCGCGCAGGUGGUUUCUUAAGUCUGAUGUGAAAGCCCACGGCUCAACCGGGGAGGGGCAUUGGAAACUGGGAGACUUGAGUGCGGAAGAGGAAGGUGGAAUUCCAUGUGUAGCGGUGAAAUGCGUAGAGAUAUGGAGGAACACCAGUGGCGAAGGCGACUUUCUGGUCUGUAACUGACACUGAGGCGCGAAAGCGUGGGGAGCAAACAGGAUUAGAUACCCUGGUAGUCCACGCCGUAAACGAUGAGUGCUAAGUGUUAGAGGGUUUCCGCCCUUUAGUGCUGAACUUAACGCAUUAAGCACUCCGCCUGGGGAGUACGGCCGCAAGGCUGAAACUCAAAGGAAUUGACGGGGGCCCGCACAAGCGGGGGAGCAUGUGGUUUAAUUCGAAGCAACGCGAAAAACCUUACCAGGUCUUGACAUCCUCGGAAAACCCUAAAGAUAGGGGUUCUCCUUCGGGAGCAUAGUGACAGGUGGUGCAUGGUUGUCGUCAGCUCGUGUCGUGAGAUGUUGGGUUAAGUCCCGCAACGAGCGCAACCCUUGAUCUUAGUUGCCAUCA
This 577-nucleotide ribosomal RNA is filed under the name Bacillus cereus. Its description in RNAcentral is "bacterial SSU rRNA". It matches the Rfam family "Bacterial small subunit ribosomal RNA", at positions 546 to 1123 of the family's 1533-position model. The record is from RNAcentral. Lineage: Bacteria; Bacillati; Bacillota; Bacilli; Caryophanales; Bacillaceae.